RNAcentral lists this ribosomal RNA (253 nucleotides) under uncultured bacterium. RNAcentral describes it as "partial 16S ribosomal RNA". It matches the Rfam family "Bacterial small subunit ribosomal RNA", at positions 524 to 776 of the family's 1533-position model. The record is from RNAcentral.
UACGUAGGGGGCUAGCGUUGUCCGGAUUUAUUGGGCGUAAAGAGCGUGUAGGCGGCCAGGUAGGUCUGCUGUGAAAACUCGAGGCUCAACCUCGAGACGUCGGCGGAAACCAUCUGGCUAGAGUCCGGAAGAGGAGAGUGGAAUUCCUGGUGUAGCGGUGAAAUGCGCAGAUAUCAGGAAGAACACCCGUGGCGAAGGCGGCUCACUGGCCCGAUACUGACGCUGAGGUGCGAAAGCGUGGGGAGCAAACAGG